RNAcentral lists this ribosomal RNA (434 nucleotides) under Escherichia coli. RNAcentral describes it as "bacterial SSU rRNA". It matches the Rfam family "Bacterial small subunit ribosomal RNA", at positions 1034 to 1468 of the family's 1533-position model. The record is from RNAcentral. Lineage: Bacteria; Pseudomonadati; Pseudomonadota; Gammaproteobacteria; Enterobacterales; Enterobacteriaceae.
ACAGGUGCUGCAUGGCUGUCGUCAGCUCGUGUUGUGAAAUGUUGGGUUAAGUCCCGCAACGAGCGCAACCCUUAUCCUUUGUUGCCAGCGGUCCGGCCGGGAACUCAAAGGAGACUGCCAGUGAUAAACUGGAGGAAGGUGGGGAUGACGUCAAGUCAUCAUGGCCCUUACGACCAGGGCUACACACGUGCUACAAUGGCGCAUACAAAGAGAAGCGACCUCGCGAGAGCAAGCGGACCUCAUAAAGUGCGUCGUAGUCCGGAUUGGAGUCUGCAACUCGACUCCAUGAAGUCGGAAUCGCUAGUAAUCGUGGAUCAGAAUGCCACGGUGAAUACGUUCCCGGGCCUUGUACACACCGCCCGUCACACCAUGGGAGUGGGUUGCAAAAGAAGUAGGUAGCUUAACCUUCGGGAGGGCGCUUACCACUUUGUGAU